RNAcentral lists this small nuclear RNA (20 nucleotides) under Arabidopsis thaliana (thale cress). Its description in RNAcentral is "snRNA_00042". The record is from RNAcentral. Lineage: Eukaryota; Viridiplantae; Streptophyta; Magnoliopsida; Brassicales; Brassicaceae.
GCCGAAGAGGGGAAAGGUUC